GGGCUCGUAGUUCAGUUGUAUAGAACAACCGCCUUCUAAGCGGUAAGUCGCAGGUUAGAGUCCUGCCGGGCCCG
RNAcentral lists this transfer RNA (74 nucleotides) under Thalassoporum mexicanum PCC 7367. RNAcentral describes it as "tRNA-Arg (TCT) (tRNA-Arg-TCT-1-1)". It matches the Rfam family "tRNA". Rfam says of the family: Transfer RNA (tRNA) molecules are approximately 80 nucleotides in length. Their secondary structure includes four short double-helical elements and three loops (D, anti-codon, and T loops). Lineage: Bacteria; Bacillati; Cyanobacteriota; Cyanophyceae; Pseudanabaenales; Thalassoporaceae. The record is from Rfam by way of RNAcentral.